This is a long non-coding RNA of Arachis duranensis, 524 nucleotides long. RefSeq lists it as uncharacterized. The transcript has 2 exons. NCBI's taxonomy places the organism in Eukaryota, Viridiplantae, Streptophyta, Magnoliopsida, Fabales, Fabaceae. The record is from RefSeq and is a predicted model, not a curated record.
UUAAGAUCUCUCACAAAUUUUUGGCUUAGCUUUCAAGUCCAUCAAGAUCAGACAACAAUUAUAGGAGGAGCUCAUGAUGUCAACAUUCUCUAACAAUUAUAGGAGGUUCGUGUUGAUAGCUAUAGUGACGGUGUUGGUGAUUUUGAUUGGUUCUCCUAAAUAUGGAGAAGCAUGGAGGCCAUUACUACAAGAUGAGUUCACGCAAAUGCUUCCAAAAAGUCCUCCAAACCCAUCAACCGGGGAUGAUACUAAUGGUAUACACGGCAAUCCACCACCAUUGCGGUGAAGACAAGACCAAAGAGAGCAAGGAAAAGAUGUGCCAAGCUGGGUUUCUCUUCUCCCGAUUGGAACACUAUAAAUCUCAAGAAUACUCUUCUCUUUUUAAGCUUUUUUACUUUAAUUUCUUCUCCUUUUGGAGAUCCCCUGUUUUAAAUUCUUUAUGUGUUGUCCAAUUUGGACCAUGCUUCUCAUUUAGCUGUAUUUCUUUUUUCUUGUUUCGAAUUAAAAAUUUAUUAAUUAGUUUA